GGAUGAACGCUAGCGGCAGGCUUAACACAUGCAAGUCGAGGGGCAGCACGGGUAGCAAUACCUGGUGGCGACCGGCGCAAGGGUGCGUAACGCGUGAGCAACAUGCCCUAUACAGGGGGAUAAUCCAGGGAAACUUGGUCUAAUAUCCCAUAGUAUUUAGAGGAGGCAUCUUCUAUAAAUUAAAGCUUCGGUGGUAUAGGAUUGGCUCGCGUGACAUUAGCUAGAUGGUGAGGUAACGGCUCACCAUGGCAAUGAUGUCUAGGGGUUCUGAGAGGAAGGCCCCCCACACUGGGACUGAGACACGGUCCAGACUCCUACGGGAGGCAGCAGUGGGGAAUAUUGCGCCAAUGGGCGAAAGCCUGACGCAGCAACGCCGCGUGCGGGAAGAAGGCCUUCGGGUUGUAAACCGCUUUUCUAGGGGAAGAGGGAGGACGGUACCCUGGGAAUAAGUCUCGGCUAACUACGUGCCAGCAGCCGCGGUAAAACGUAGGAGGCGAGCGUUAUCCGGAUUUACUGGGUGUAAAGCGCGUGCAGGCGGUUUAGCAAGUCGUGCGUGAAAGCGCUCUGGCUCAACCGGGCGAGGACGUGCGGAACUGCUGAACUGGAGGCAGGUAGAGGCGUGUGGAAUUCCGGGUGUAGUGGUGAAAUGCGUAGAGAUCCGGAGGAACACCAGUGGCGAAGGCGACGCGCUGGGCCUGACCUGACGCUAAGACGCGAAAGCAUGGGGAGCGAACGGGAUUAGAAACCCCGGUAGUCCAUGCUGUAAACGAUGCGGACUAGGUGUGGCGGUGAGGAGCCGCUGUGCCGUAGCGAACGUGGUAAGUCCGCCACCUGGGGAGUACGGCCGCAAGGUUAAAACUCAAAGGAAUUGACGGGGGCCCGCACAAGCAGCGGAGCGUGUGGUUUAAUUCGAGGCUACACGAAGAACCUUACCUGGGCUUGACAUGGCGGUGGUAGCGACCUGAAAGGGGAGCGACCUUCGGGAGCCGUCACAGGUGCUGCAUGGCUGUCGUCAGCUCGUGUCGUGAGAUGUUCGGUUAAGUCCGGUAACGAGCGCAACCCUCGCCGUCAGUUACAAGUGUCUGGCGGGACUGCCCGUUGAACGCGGGAGGAAGGUGGGGAUGACGUCAAGUCAGCAUGGCCUUAAUGUCCAGGGCUACACACACGCUACAAUGGCCGGCACAGCAGGUUGCCAACCCGCGAGGGGGAGCCAAUCCCGUAAAGCCGGUCUCAGUUCGGAUUGCAGGCUGCAACCCGCCUGCAUGAAGUGGGAGUUGCUAGUAAACGCGCAUCAGCCAAGGCGCGUUGAAUACGUUCCCGGGCCU
RNAcentral lists this ribosomal RNA (1325 nucleotides) under uncultured bacterium. RNAcentral describes it as "bacterial SSU rRNA". It matches the Rfam family "Bacterial small subunit ribosomal RNA", at positions 27 to 1381 of the family's 1533-position model. The record is from RNAcentral.